CAAGUACUCCCUCCGUCCGGAAUUACUUGUCAUCAAAAUGGAUGUGUCUAGAACUAAAAUACAUCUAGAUACAUCCAUUUCAAUGACAAGCAUUUUCGGACGGAGGGAGUACAAG
Triticum aestivum (bread wheat) is the source of this 115-nucleotide non-coding RNA. NCBI's taxonomy places the organism in Eukaryota, Viridiplantae, Streptophyta, Magnoliopsida, Poales, Poaceae. The record is from Rfam.